GCCCUGAUGGUUUAGCGGUUAAGACUCAGUGCUGUCACCCCCGAGGCCCAGGUUCAUUUCCCGGUCAGGGAA
Molecule: transfer RNA, 72 nt
Filed under: Equus asinus (donkey)
Lineage: Eukaryota; Metazoa; Chordata; Mammalia; Perissodactyla; Equidae
Also listed under: 1 other name
Rfam family: tRNA
About the family: Transfer RNA (tRNA) molecules are approximately 80 nucleotides in length.
Source: Rfam by way of RNAcentral